UACCAGCACCCCGAGUGGUCGGGACGUUUAUUGGGCCUAAAGCAUCCGUAGCCGGCCUUACAAGUCCCCCGUUAAAUCCAACUGCUUAACAGAUGGGCUGCGGAGGAUACUAUAAGACUAGGAGGCAGGAGAGGCAAGCGGUACUCAGUGGGUAGGGGUAAAAUGCGUAGAUAUCUGGAGGAACACCGGUGGCGAAGGCGGCAUCCUGGACCAUUACUGACACUGAGAAGCGAAAGCCAGGGGAGCAAACGGG
RNAcentral lists this ribosomal RNA (253 nucleotides) under uncultured bacterium. RNAcentral's name for it is "partial 16S ribosomal RNA". The stretch from base 27 to 253 matches the Rfam family "Bacterial small subunit ribosomal RNA", at positions 550 to 776 of the family's 1533-position model. The record is from RNAcentral.